RNAcentral lists this ribosomal RNA (278 nucleotides) under uncultured bacterium. Its description in RNAcentral is "partial 16S ribosomal RNA". It matches the Rfam family "Bacterial small subunit ribosomal RNA", at positions 29 to 334 of the family's 1533-position model. The record is from RNAcentral.
AACGAACGCUGGCGGCAGGCUUAACACAUGCAAGUCGAACGAACCCUUCGGGGUGAGUGGCGCACGGGUGCGUAACGCGUGGGAAUAUACCCCUGGGUGAGGAAUAACGUAGAGAAAUUUGCGCUAAUACCUCAUAAUAACUUCGGUUCAAAGAUUUAUCGCCGAGGGAUUAGCCCGCGUUAGAUUAGAUAGUUGGUGAGGUAACGGCUCACCAAGUCGACGAUCUAUAGGGGGUCUGAGAGGAUGAUCCCCCACACUGGUACUGAGACACGGACCAG